Molecule: long non-coding RNA, 549 nt
Filed under: Elaeis guineensis (African oil palm)
Lineage: Eukaryota; Viridiplantae; Streptophyta; Magnoliopsida; Arecales; Arecaceae
Description: long non-coding RNA (EGUI_LNC008566)
Source: RNAcentral
CCACCCAGCGUCCUCCAAUGAUCUCUUCGUUGACUGCGCCUCCUUUCGAUACCAUUGCUCCUCUCUCUUUUUCUCUCUUGAUUAAACAUCCUGUCGGGCAACAUCGAGCCGUGGAGGCCUCUACAGCCCUCCGGCAGCUUCAACAGACCACCGCCAGCCUUCAGCGGCAUCGUCCACUCUUUUCCUCCCCUCCUCUCUCUCUCUCUUCUUCUCUUUCUAUCUCUUUCCCUCUCCCUCCUCUGGUGUUCGGAUUUGCCUGACCAAACCAUCCCAAUUUGCCACCAAUACGGCUCAGAACGUCCUGAACUGUCCGAUUCGGGACGAUUCGGUGAACGCCAAGAAGUGUCAACACUAGCAAUAGCUACUUAGAGUGUCUUGUCAUAGGAUCAAGUGUUAUCACUUAAAUUCUCAAAUAUUACAAGUGCUAAAUGAUAUUAGCUUAAACAGGAGCAGGGCCGAAGCAUGGCUAGGGGGGGCCAUGACACCCCUUCUCAUGCAAUUUCUAUUCAAGCAUCCCCUAUUUCCUAUCAAGGAUUCUCUACUUAAAUU